GGAAUUUUGCGCAAUGGGCGAAAGCCUGACGCAGCAACGCCGCGUGGAGGAUGAAGGCCUUCGGGUCGUAAACUCCUGUCGAUGGGGACGAAGUUCUCGCAAGAGGAUUGACUGUACCCGUUGAGGAAGCCACGGCUAACUCCGUGCCAGCAGCCGCGGUAAUACGGGGGUGGCAAGCGUUGUUCGGAAUUACUGGGCGUAAAGGGCGCGUAGGCGGCAUAACAAGUCAGAUGUGAAAGCCCCGAGCUCAACUCGGGAACUGCAUCUGAAACUGUAUUGCUUGAGUUCUGGAGGGGGUAGUGGAAUUCCCAGUGUAGCGGUGAAAUGCGUAGAUAUUGGGAGGAACACCUGCGGCGAAGGCGGCUACCUGGACAGUGACUGACGCUGAGGCGCGAAAGCUAGGGGAGCGAACGGGAUUAGA
Molecule: ribosomal RNA, 421 nt
Filed under: uncultured bacterium
Lineage: Bacteria
Description: bacterial SSU rRNA
Rfam family: Bacterial small subunit ribosomal RNA
Source: RNAcentral